GGUAGCGUGGCCGAGCGGUCUAAGGCGCUGGCUUUAGGCACCAGUAUCCUCGGAGGCGUGGGUUCGAAUCCCACCGCUGCCA
RNAcentral lists this transfer RNA (82 nucleotides) under Dermacentor silvarum. Its description in RNAcentral is "transfer RNA leucine (anticodon UAG)". It matches the Rfam family "tRNA". Rfam says of the family: Transfer RNA (tRNA) molecules are approximately 80 nucleotides in length. Their secondary structure includes four short double-helical elements and three loops (D, anti-codon, and T loops). Further hydrogen bonds mediate the characteristic L-shaped molecular structure. tRNAs have two regions of fundamental functional importance: the anti-codon, which is responsible for specific mRNA codon recognition, and the 3' end, to which the tRNAs corresponding amino acid is attached (by aminoacyl-tRNA synthetases). tRNAs cope with the degeneracy of the genetic code in two manners: having more than one tRNA (with a specific anti-codon) for a particular amino acid; and 'wobble' base-pairing, i.e. permitting non-standard base-pairing at the 3rd anti-codon position. The record is from RNAcentral. Lineage: Eukaryota; Metazoa; Arthropoda; Arachnida; Ixodida; Ixodidae.